AUAAGGUUUAGCUUAGGUGUCUUCUUGUUUAUUUUGGGAAUGGAAAUCAACAUUUAUAGUGACUGUAUAUAGUGCCAGGUCAGGAAGCCUGGAGAAAUAACCUAUAGGAAUCCACAAGGUGGCUUGUUUAUGUAUGUUUCUGAAGCCAAUUUCCCCAGUGAGAUCACUGAAUGGAUUGGCUAUGCCCUGGCCACUUGGUCCAUCCUGACACUUGCAUUUGCAUUUUUCUCACCUUGUUUCCUUG
RNAcentral lists this long non-coding RNA (244 nucleotides) under Homo sapiens (human). Its description in RNAcentral is "non-protein coding lnc-H2AFB2-2:1". Lineage: Eukaryota; Metazoa; Chordata; Mammalia; Primates; Hominidae. The record is from RNAcentral.